AGCUCUCACAACCAUAACUACGACUUCUGGUGAUACCCAACGGCCAACUACUGAAGCUCUCACAACCAUUUCUACGACUUCUGGUAACACCCAACGUCCAACGACUGAAGCUCUCACAACAAUAUCUACGACUUCUGGAGAUACCAACCGG
Molecule: long non-coding RNA, 151 nt
Organism: Anneissia japonica
Lineage: Eukaryota; Metazoa; Echinodermata; Crinoidea; Comatulida; Comatulidae
Exons: 3
Source: RefSeq, a predicted model, not a curated record